UGCAGCUUUGUCAAAUUCAGUGUUUCCUCUUUCGUAGGUUUCACUGGCCAAAAUGGCUGCAACAGUGACUGUAGUUCAUGGGCCCCAAAUUUCCUGUUAUGAAUUAUGGGCAUAAAUAUGUACUACAGACAAAU
Betta splendens (Siamese fighting fish) is the source of this 134-nucleotide small nucleolar RNA. Ensembl annotates it as small nucleolar RNA SNORA5. The record is from Ensembl. Lineage: Eukaryota; Metazoa; Chordata; Actinopteri; Anabantiformes; Osphronemidae.